This 371-nucleotide ribosomal RNA is filed under the name uncultured bacterium. RNAcentral describes it as "bacterial SSU rRNA". It matches the Rfam family "Bacterial small subunit ribosomal RNA", at positions 527 to 896 of the family's 1533-position model. The record is from RNAcentral.
GUAGGAUGCGAGCGUUAUUCGGAUUUACUGGGCGUAAAGCGCGUGUAGGCGGUUAGGAGAGUUGGAUGUGAAAGCUCCCGGCUUAACUGGGAGAGGUCGUUCAAAACUUCCUGACUAGAGUUUGGUAGAGGAAAAUGGAAUUCCGGGUGUAGUGGUGAAAUGCGUAGAUAUCCGGAGGAACACCAGUGGCGAAAGCGAUUUUCUGGACCGAUACUGACGCUCAGACGCGAAAGCUAGGGUAGCAAACGGGAUUAGAGACCCCGGUAGUCCUAGCUGUAAACGAUGUAGACUUGGCGUUGGGAGAGUAAAAUCAUCCAGUGCCGAAGCAAACGCGAUAAGUCUACCGCCUGGGGAGUACGGCCGCAAGGUUA